AGCAGCCGCGGUAAUUCCAGCUCCAAUAGCGUAUAUUAAAGUUGUUGCAGUUAAAAAGCUCGUAGUUGAAUUUCGGGGUUAGUAGGUUGGUCAUGCCUCUGGUAUGUACUGGUCUCACUGAUUCCUCCUUCCUGAUGAGCCGUAAUGCCAUUAAUUUGGUGUUGCGGGGAAUUUGGACUGUUACUUUGAAAAAAUUGAGUGUUUAAAGCAAGCUAACGCUUGAAUACAUUAGCAUGGGAUAAUGAAAUAGGACGUUUGAUUCUAUUUUGUUGGUUUCUAGGAUCGACGUAAUGAUUAAUAGGGAUAGUUGGGGGCAUUAGUAUUCAAUUGUCAGAGGUGAAAUUCUUGGAUUUAUUGAAGACUAACUACUGCGAAAGCAUUUGCCAAGGAUGUUUUCAUUAAUCAAGAACGAAAGUUAGGGGAUCGAAGACGAUCAGAUACCGUCGUAGUCUUAACCAUAAACUAUGCCGACUAGGGAUCGGAUGAUGUUAAUUUUUUAAUGACUCAUUCGGCGCCUUAA
Molecule: ribosomal RNA, 520 nt
Filed under: uncultured Glomus
Lineage: Eukaryota; Fungi; Glomeromycota; Glomeromycetes; Glomerales; Glomeraceae
Description: SSU rRNA
Rfam family: Eukaryotic small subunit ribosomal RNA
Source: RNAcentral